UACGUAGGGUGCAAGCGUUGUCCGGAAUUAUUGGGCGUAAAGAGCUCGUAGGCGGCCUGUUGCGUCCGCUGUGAAAGCCCGGGGCUUAACCCCGGGUCUGCAGUGGAUACGGGCAGGCUAGAGGUAGGUAGGGGAGAAUGGAAUUCCCGGUGUAGCGGUGAAAUGCGCAGAUAUCGGGAGGAACACCGGUGGCGAAGGCGGUUCUCUGGGCCUUACCUGACGCUGAGGAGCGAAAGCAUGGGGAGCGAACAGG
RNAcentral lists this ribosomal RNA (253 nucleotides) under uncultured bacterium. RNAcentral's name for it is "partial 16S ribosomal RNA". It matches the Rfam family "Bacterial small subunit ribosomal RNA", at positions 524 to 776 of the family's 1533-position model. The record is from RNAcentral.